GACGAACGCUGGCGGCGUGCCUAAUACAUGCAAGUGGGACGCAAGAGAACACACUGUGCUUGCACACCGUGUUUUCUUGAGUCGCGAACGGGUGAGUAACGCGUAGGUAACCUGCCUAUUAGCGGGGGAUAACUAUUGGAAACGAUAGCUAAUACCGCAUAAUAUUAAUUAUUGCAUGAUAAUUGAUUGAAAGAUGCAAGCGCAUCACUAGUAGAUGGACCUGCGUUGUAUUAGCUAGUUGGUAAGGUAAGAGCUUACCAAGGCGACGAUACAUAGCCGACCUGAGAGGGUGAUCGGCCACACUGGGACUGAGACACGGCCCAGACUCCUACGGGAGGCAGCAGUAGGGAAUCUUCGGCAAUGGACGAAAGUCUGACCGAGCAACGCCGCGUGAGUGAAGAAGGUUUUCGGAUCGUAAAGCUCUGUUGUAAGUCAAGAGCGUGUGUGAGAGUGGAAAGUUACA
Molecule: ribosomal RNA, 463 nt
Filed under: Streptococcus mutans
Lineage: Bacteria; Bacillati; Bacillota; Bacilli; Lactobacillales; Streptococcaceae
Description: bacterial SSU rRNA
Rfam family: Bacterial small subunit ribosomal RNA
Source: RNAcentral